Molecule: ribosomal RNA, 386 nt
Filed under: uncultured bacterium
Lineage: Bacteria
Description: bacterial SSU rRNA
Rfam family: Bacterial small subunit ribosomal RNA
Source: RNAcentral
GACGAACGCUGGCGGCGUGCUUAACACAUGCAAGUCGAGCGGUAAGGCCCUUUCGGGGGUACACGAGCGGCGAACGGGUGAGUAACACGUGGGUGACCUGCCCUCAGCUCUGGGAUAAGCCUGGGAAACCGGGUCUAAUACCGGAUAUGACUCCAUGACGCAUGUUGUGGGGUGGAAAGCCUUGUGCGGCUGAGGAUGGGCCCGCGGCCUAUCAGCUUGUUGGUGGGGUGAUGGCCUACCAAGGCGACGACGGGUAGCCGGCCUGAGAGGGCGACCGGCCACACUGGGACUGAGACACGGCCCAGACUCCUACGGGAGGCAGCAGUGGGGAAUCUUGCGCAAUGGGCGAAAGCCUGACGCAGCGACGCCGCGUGAGGAUGACGGCC